This is a long non-coding RNA of Aphis gossypii (cotton aphid), 660 nucleotides long. RefSeq lists it as uncharacterized. The record is from RefSeq and is a predicted model, not a curated record. The transcript has 3 exons. Lineage: Eukaryota; Metazoa; Arthropoda; Insecta; Hemiptera; Aphididae.
AACAAUAAUAGGAAAAUAAUCGAGGUGUAAAAUUGUUCAGUGAACACAAAUGGGUCCUGGGUUAUUUAAAGUAGAUAGGUAACGUAUAUGUAUGAUAAGACUGAUAAGUACACUGAGUCGCGUCAUUCGGACGCGGCUAGUUCAAUUCGAGACAGUUGGACAAUUUAAAUUCAUUUUUUUUAAAGUCUCAUUUUUGAAUGAAAAUUGUCGUAGUCUAAUAGUUGAUGUUCGUCAAAAUUACGACGAUUAAAUUACGUAUACAAACAAAAACAAAUCAGAAUUCACUUUAUCAUACAAACCAAUCUGUGACUUAACUAGUGUGGUAUUGUAAACUGCGUCAGAAUACAGAUACCGGUUAGAUAUAAAGUUCAAGUAACGCGAGCAUUAUGGACUACGGGCAAUUUAGGUUGAUAUUAAAUGACUAACUAUACUAACCAAUGCAUAAACCAUCCAUACUUCAUUUCGAUUGCUCGUAAAGGAUCGAUCUUUAAGUUGGAUUCAUAAUCGCAAGGAAUUUUCUCAUUACAAGCAGCAAACUAAAAUGAUAAUACCUACAAGCGCUAUGUCUUCAACAGUGACAUUGGUUUUAACAUUGCUUUGGAACGCAACAGGCCAAUUGAGAUCUGCGUACGAUUCUAAAACGUCUUCAGGUUUGAAAAC